CCACGAAAUACUCAUUGGGCCAUAAAAAAAAACAAGCCCAGUUUCAAUGUGGGUUUCUUUGCUCUCUCCCCUCCAAAGGACCUUAGUAAUUAUCAUAAAACGACACCGUUUGGAGACCUCCCUUCUGACCAAAAUAACGGGGAAGCAAAGAGAAAAGAACCAAAGACUCGAAACUAACUCGAGCUCUGCUCUUUUGUCUUUCCCUUUCCUUAUUCUAAUUUUUGGCGGAUUAUUUUCCUCUUUCUGGAUUUGAUCUAAUAAAACCACAGCACUCAAUUUUCUCAAACCCUGAUUCUGAGUGUAAUAUUAGCUCAGAACUCUUGUGUUUGCACUCAAAAUGAUAACUUCCAUUGAUCACGUCAAAUGCUUUUUAUAAGCUUACAAUAACCCCAU
Molecule: long non-coding RNA, 393 nt
Filed under: Brassica napus (rape)
Lineage: Eukaryota; Viridiplantae; Streptophyta; Magnoliopsida; Brassicales; Brassicaceae
Description: long non-coding RNA (BNAP_LNC005150)
Source: RNAcentral